This 1422-nucleotide long non-coding RNA is filed under the name Homo sapiens (human). RNAcentral describes it as "HSALNT0297252". The record is from RNAcentral. Lineage: Eukaryota; Metazoa; Chordata; Mammalia; Primates; Hominidae.
AUCAUAAAAAUGGCCCAUUCUUCUGCUUUGCUUUCUUCUAGUGCUUAUCCUUGGAACCCAGCCACCAUGCUGUGAGGAAGCCCAAACUACUCCACGUAAAGGGAGCUCAUGGAGAAGCCUCCGGUAGGUGUUCCUGCCAAGAGAUGAGCUGAGAGUCCAACCAACAGCAACAUCGACUGCCAGACACGAUGCACCAAAUAGAGAGUAAAUAUCAGCUUCAUGAAUGAAUAAUGAAAAUGGAGAGAUAACUGAAUGAAUCAUACUACUCAUCAUUAGAAGAGUUAUAUUCACCAGAAACCCACUAAGACCCCACGUAAGAUAAAUGUCACAUUCUGACAAAAGCACCAAGAAAUAGAAGAAGAAAAACAAUGUAUGUGAAUAAAGUGAACAACCAGAAACUAAAUAAGUAUCGUCUAGGGUGUGGUGGCCAGAAUACUACUUUCCCCAAGAUGCCCAAGGUCUUCAUUCUUGAAACCUGUGGCAAAAAGGACUUAAUAGGCUAACUUACUGAGUUAGGGUUCUUGAGAUGGGAAGAUUAUCCUGACUUUACAGGUAGACCCAGCGUUUACCAGGAUCCCUGUAAGAGCAAGGCAGGAAUGACAGAAUCAGAGAAGAUGAUGUAGUGACAAAAGCAGGGGUCCGAGUGAUGCCACUGCUGGCUUUGAAAAUGAAGGAAAAGGCCACCGGCCAAGGAAGGCAGGCAGCUUCACGAAGCUGGAAAAGACUCUCCCCUAGAGCCUCCAAAAACAUGCAAUCCUGCCAAUGCCUUGAUUUGGCCCAGUGAAACCCAUUUCAGAUGUCUGACCUCCAAAAACAGAAGAUUUAGAAAGAUUUUUUUUUUGUUUUUUUUUUUUUUAAAGUUCAAAGGUACAUGUGCAGGUUUGUUACAAAAGUAAACGUGUAUCAUGGGGGUCUGUUGUGCAGAUUAUUUCAUCACCCAGAAUGAAGUGUCAAUGAACCAUGAUAUACUGGAGCCAAAGCAGAAUUUAUUUCAUCCGGAUAAAUCUAAGGGCUGUCGUCUGUAUCUUAAUUGUGAGUCAAGUGAAGGCCACUGGCUCUCUUCAGACUCACAGUUAACAGAUCUCUUUUGAAAUAUACUGUUAGUACAAUCGAUGGUUGGCAUCACAAAUUGAAGAUUACGGCAGAUGAAAUACCCAUACGCCUUAAGUGUUAUAAAUUCCAACCACAAAGAGUUUCUGAAAGGAAUUGCUACUACUAACAUACUCUGCAAGAAAUCCUGACUUCAGGAUUAUGAGAGAAAAAUAUAUAUAUCUCAAGAAAGAAAAAAUCCAGCACCUACGGCAUAAUGUAAGGAGAGAAUGCUCCAGCAAAAUCUAACUUGCACAAUAAAUCUGUUCUGUCAGAUCCUUGACCGGUAUGUUUAUGUUGACCUCUUUCCGUUUGAAGAGAGAGGAAAGAAAC